This 73-nucleotide transfer RNA is filed under the name Myotis lucifugus (little brown bat). It matches the Rfam family "tRNA". Rfam says of the family: Transfer RNA (tRNA) molecules are approximately 80 nucleotides in length. Their secondary structure includes four short double-helical elements and three loops (D, anti-codon, and T loops). Further hydrogen bonds mediate the characteristic L-shaped molecular structure. tRNAs have two regions of fundamental functional importance: the anti-codon, which is responsible for specific mRNA codon recognition, and the 3' end, to which the tRNAs corresponding amino acid is attached (by aminoacyl-tRNA synthetases). tRNAs cope with the degeneracy of the genetic code in two manners: having more than one tRNA (with a specific anti-codon) for a particular amino acid; and 'wobble' base-pairing, i.e. permitting non-standard base-pairing at the 3rd anti-codon position. Lineage: Eukaryota; Metazoa; Chordata; Mammalia; Chiroptera; Vespertilionidae. The record is from Rfam by way of RNAcentral.
GCCGGUGUGGCUCAGUGGUUAGAGUGUUGGCCCGUGCACCAAAGGGUCAUGGGUUCCAUUCCCAUCAAGGGCA